This 311-nucleotide ribosomal RNA is filed under the name uncultured bacterium. RNAcentral describes it as "bacterial SSU rRNA". It matches the Rfam family "Bacterial small subunit ribosomal RNA", at positions 28 to 334 of the family's 1533-position model. The record is from RNAcentral.
GACGAACGCUGGCGGCGCGCCUAACACAUGCAAGUCGAACGAGCGAGAGAGAGCUUGCUUUCUCAAGCGAGUGGCGAACGGGUGAGUAACGCGUGAGGAACCUGCCUCAAAGAGGGGGACAACAGUUGGAAACGACUGCUAAUACCGCAUAAGCCCACGACCCGGCAUCGGGUUGAGGGAAAAGGAGCAAUCCGCUUUGAGAUGGCCUCGCGUCCGAUUAGCUGGUUGGUGGGGUAACGGCCUACCAAGGCGACGAUCAGUAGCCGGCCUGAGAGGGUGAACGGCCACAUUGGGACUGAGACACGGCCCAA